This 460-nucleotide ribosomal RNA is filed under the name uncultured bacterium. Its description in RNAcentral is "partial 16S ribosomal RNA". It matches the Rfam family "Bacterial small subunit ribosomal RNA", at positions 338 to 795 of the family's 1533-position model. The record is from RNAcentral.
CCUACGGGGGGCAGCAGUGAGGAAUAUUGGUCAAUGGGAGAGAGCCUGAACCAGCCAAGCCGCGUGAAGGAAGACGGCCCUAUGGGUUGUAAACCUCUUUUGUCGGAGAACAAAGCGCGGGACGUGUGCCUUUCUGCGUGUAUCCUAUGAAUAAGCAUCGGCUAACUCCGUGCCAGCAGCCGCGGUAAUACGGAGGAUCCGAGCGUUAUCCGGAUUUAUUGGGUUUAAAGGGUGCGUAGACGGGUCGUUAAGUCAGGCGGGAAAUUUGGGGGCUCAACCCUGGAGGGGCCGUUGAUACUGGCAGCCUUGAGUGGGGUUGAGGUAGGCGGAAUGCGUGGUGUAGCGGUGAAAUGCAUAGAUAUCGCGAAGAACUCCGAUUGCGAAGGCAGCGUACCAAAGUGAGACUGACGCUGAGGCACGAAAGCGUGGGGAUCGAACAGGAUUAGAUACCCCGGUAGUC